RNAcentral lists this ribosomal RNA (480 nucleotides) under uncultured Ferruginibacter sp. RNAcentral's name for it is "bacterial SSU rRNA". It matches the Rfam family "Bacterial small subunit ribosomal RNA", at positions 91 to 568 of the family's 1533-position model. Lineage: Bacteria; Pseudomonadati; Bacteroidota; Chitinophagia; Chitinophagales; Chitinophagaceae. The record is from RNAcentral.
GAGACCGGCAAACGGGUGCGGAACACGUACGCAACCUUCCCAAAACUGGUGAAUAGCCCUCCGAAAGGAGGAUUAAUGCACCGUAACAUAUAGAGAUGGCAUCAUUUUUAUAUUAUAGCUCCGGCGGUUUUGGAUGGGCGUGCGCCUGAUUAGGUAGUUGGUGCGGGUAACGGCCCACCAAGCCUUCGAUCAGUAACUGGUGUGAGAGCACGACCAGUCACACGGGCACUGAGACACGGGCCCGACUCCUACGGGAGGCAGCAGUAAGGAAUAUUGGUCAAUGGACGCAAGUCUGAACCAGCCAUGCCGCGUGAAGGAUGACGGCCCUCUGGGUUGUAAACUUCUUUUAUCUGGGACGAAAAAAGGGCUUUCUAGCUCGACUGACGGUACCAGAGGAAUAAGCACCGGCUAACUCCGUGCCAGCAGCCGCGGUAAUACGGAGGGUGCAAGCGUUAUCCGGAUUUACUGGGUUUAAAGGGU